GCCAUGGAAUGAGGAAGCAUAAAGCCACCCGGUGAGGGACGGGUGACACUUUGGACAGUCAUAGAGUCUUCCAUGCUUGGCAGUGCCAGCAAUGCAAGAGGAUCAUUCAUAGCUAGUUUUCUCCAAGCCCCUAAACUUGAAAGAGUUUGUAAGGAGGGAGGAAGCCUGAUGAGCUUCUGUGUUUUCUUUUACUUCCAGACCCUCACACCCUUGAAUCUCAAGGCUGAGAGGAUUCAGAAUCAAACCUCAUCAUCUGCCUAAGCGGUGCACACCUGGCCAUAACAUUAGCUGUGCAAAAGCAGGUGCUUCUCAGGAGCAACAAGUCUGUAGAGCGAGCGGUCACCUCUAACUCCGAGAUGGACCCAUAGGGCAUCUCUGGGCUCUGAGCGCCUACCUAGAGGGGAAAGCUGCGAAGAGCCAGUCUUGUCCAACCCCAUCUUCCCAGACAAUGGCCCUGGUAGAGGUGAGCUGUUGGUGAAAUGGAGUAGAAAAGCCACCUUUCCAACGAGGCCUUGCUGGACUUGGAGAGGCUUCCGGAACAUGCUGAGGAGGGAAGGAGAUAAGUCACUGUGCAGCCCACACAGGACAGACCCCCUCCAGUCUGCCCCAGCAUGGCCGGGAAUCCGCCUCAUUCUGUCAUAUCCUCACCUGCGUCUGUAACCAUCAACCUCUGGGCUUGACACAGCCCUGGAUGAAGGCCAGCCACGGCUACAGAGCCAGGCUGGGACUUGCUUGUCCCUGACGUCGCAGGCUGCAUCGGGAGCAGAAGCAAUCAUGGUCUCAGGGAGCUCAGGGCUUGCAUCUCCUAUUCAGGCUGAACGGUCCCGUGCAAAUGCUCCCUGGAGCUUGGGGCUUCAGGUGGAUUUCCUAGCGCCUCUCAGCAGAAUGGGGACAACUCCUAGCAUCCAGCCCAGGCCUACUGUAUGCCCAGGCCUUCUCAAGCAGAACACGUGGAGGACACUCCAGGGAAAGCCACCCAGCCCACUUCCCGCCCGCUCUGAGUGUCGGCUGCUGGAAGUCGCCUUGCCAUCAAGAGGCCAGUGAAAGGAGCCAGAGGCCACCGAGAUGUGACCAGGUGCAUGGACUCUCUUUCCCACGCUAGAUAAAGCGACCAUGGCAACCCAGGACACAUCUGGAGACAGACUGCCACCAGGACACGCCCCAUGGCCACCUCCUUGUCUCCCAGGACACCCAAGCCAGAGGAACCAGCACAGACGUCUGCACCAAGCCAUCGGGCAGGACACACGUGCUGCCCUUUUAGGGAUGCAGGCUCUUUUUCAUUUUAUUUAUUGGUUUGGAAUUAAAUGAAUAACUUCCAGUCCUGCUCUACCGAUUAGCAGUGCGGGAUCUCAGGGCAGUUGAAUCG
Molecule: long non-coding RNA, 1366 nt
Organism: Heterocephalus glaber (naked mole-rat)
Lineage: Eukaryota; Metazoa; Chordata; Mammalia; Rodentia; Bathyergidae
Source: Ensembl